Molecule: ribosomal RNA, 467 nt
Filed under: uncultured bacterium
Lineage: Bacteria
Description: partial 16S ribosomal RNA
Rfam family: Bacterial small subunit ribosomal RNA
Source: RNAcentral
GACGAACGCUGGCGGCGUGCUUAACACAUGCAAGUCGAACGGAAAGGCCUCUUUCGGGGGGUACUCGAGUGGCGAACGGGUGAGUAACACGUGAGUAACCUGCCCUUGACUUUGGGAUAACUUCAGGAAACUGGGGCUAAUACCGGAUAGGAGCUCCUGCUGCAUGGUGGGGGUUGGAAAGUUUCGGCGGUUGGGGAUGGACGCGCGGCUUAUCAGCUUGUUGGUGGGGUAGUGGCUUACCAAGGCUUUGACGGGUAGCCGGCCUGGGAGGGUGACCGGCCACAUUGGGACUGAGAUACGGCCCAGACUCCUACGGGAGGCAGCAGUGGGGAAUAUUGCACAAUGGGUGGAAGCCUGAUGCAGCAACGCCGUGUGCGGGAUGACGGCCUUCGGGUUGUAAACCGCUUUCGCUCAUGACGAAGCUUUGUGUGACGGUAGUGGGUAAAGAAGCACCGGCUAACUACGUG